RNAcentral lists this small RNA (28 nucleotides) under Arabidopsis thaliana (thale cress). RNAcentral's name for it is "ATSL210390". The record is from RNAcentral. Lineage: Eukaryota; Viridiplantae; Streptophyta; Magnoliopsida; Brassicales; Brassicaceae.
UCUUAGAAUGUAUGCUUAAGAUUUAUGU